This 758-nucleotide ribosomal RNA is filed under the name Hordeum vulgare subsp. vulgare (domesticated barley). RNAcentral's name for it is "Eukaryotic large subunit ribosomal RNA". It matches the Rfam family "Eukaryotic large subunit ribosomal RNA", at positions 665 to 1455 of the family's 3401-position model. The record is from Rfam by way of RNAcentral. Lineage: Eukaryota; Viridiplantae; Streptophyta; Magnoliopsida; Poales; Poaceae.
ACCAAGGAGCCUGGCAUGCAUGCGAGUCAACGGGUUUUGAAACCUGGGAUACGCAAGGAAGAUGACGAGCGGGAGGCCCUCACGGGCCGCACCGCUGGCCGACCGUGAUCUUGUGUGAAAGGUUCGAGUUGGAGCAUGCCUGUCGGGACCCGAAAGAUGGUGAACUAUGCCUGAGCAGGGCGAAGCCAGAGGAAACUCUGGUGGAGGCUCGAAGCGAUACUGACGUGCAAAUCGUUCCUCUGACUUGGGUAUAGGGCGAAAGACUAAUCGAACCAUCUAGUAGCUGUUUCCCUCCGAAGAUUCCCUCAGGAUAGCUGGAGCCCAUUACGAGUUCUAUCAGGUAAAGCCAAUGAUUAGAGGCAUUGGGGAUGCAACAUCCUCGACCUAUUCUCAAACUUUAAAUAGCUAGGAUGGCUCGGCUGCUUCGGUGAGCCGUGCCACAGAAUCUGGUGCUCCAAGUGGGCCAUUUUUGGUAAGCCGAGUUACGGUGCCCAACUGCGCGCUAACCUAGAACACAGAAAGGGUGUUGGUCGAUUAAGAUAACAGGACGGUGGUCAUGGAAGUAGAAAUCCGCUAAGGAGUGUGUAACAACUCACUUGUCGAAUCAACUAGCCCCAAAAAUGGAUGGCGCUGAAGCGCCCUACCUACACCCGGCCAUCUGGGCGAGCACCAUGCCCAGAUGAGUAGGAGGGCACGGCGGGCGCUGCAAAACCCGGGGCGUGAGACCAGGCGGAGCGGCCGUCGGUGCAGAUCUUGGU